UGCAAUGUUUUCCCCUCAACUUUGAAAUUUCAGGAAAAAUGGAGAAAACGGCAGGAAAUAAUCCUGUUAAAAUCGCUGAAAAAAUUUCCCCGCACGUACGGGCCCCACGAGCUGUGCACAUGUGCGCAGGCGGUUAACCAAACGUGCAUCUGUGCACAAGUCCCAUCUAUGCAGGGUGCAAGGCAUGCAGUCUGUGUGUGCUUUACAUCGUGCAUACACAGCGCACAGCUCCACAUGUGCAGGUUCUUCAGCUAGUGCACGCAGCAGGUGUCGCCUACGCGUAGCAACGCUUGGGUGCUGCACAGUUGACCUUAGAUUGUGUAUGCUGCCCCUUGAGGGGCGUGCAUCACCACUCGAUCAAUGUGCUGUUGUUUGUUAGGUGUGCAUCAUCAAUUGGCCGGCAUGCCCCUGGCCUACGUAUCAAGUCGUCACAUUGUCGUCGUCUUGUUAGCCAUCCAUCAGUCACAUUCGUCAAUCAUCAGGUAAUGUCGGUCAACUCUUUCCUCCCUCUCUCCUCAUGGAUUUACGCCACUUGGCAAAUAUCUGAUGAUUCAUUUUCUCUACAAAUAGGGACCCCUCCCCACCAUUUCUUCACACUUCCUCUUCAUUUCAUUUUCUAAAGAAAUUCUAGAGAGAGAAAGAGAGAGCUAGAGAGAGGCUUAGAAGAAGAAGGAAAGAA
This 679-nucleotide long non-coding RNA is filed under the name Carica papaya (papaya). Its description in RNAcentral is "long non-coding RNA (CPAP_LNC003158)". Lineage: Eukaryota; Viridiplantae; Streptophyta; Magnoliopsida; Brassicales; Caricaceae. The record is from RNAcentral.